Mobula hypostoma (lesser devil ray) is the source of this 743-nucleotide long non-coding RNA. RefSeq lists it as uncharacterized. Lineage: Eukaryota; Metazoa; Chordata; Chondrichthyes; Myliobatiformes; Myliobatidae. The transcript has 6 exons. The record is from RefSeq and is a predicted model, not a curated record.
GUCUUUCUGGCUGCGGCUGCAGAGCGGGAGGACGCUGUGGUUCGGGCUCCGCGCCCUGCCCCGAUCUCUGGGGCAAACGGCACCCUGGCCCGCCAGGUGUUUAGCGGUAGGGCCUCGCCUGCGCUCGGGGAAACUUGGCCCGGAGUCGCCGGAUGGAAGGGGAGGUUUUGCUGGCCACGUGUGUGGAAAGGGAAGCGGGCCGCUUUACCCAGGCGAUGAGUCCCUCCUUCGUUUAUCGGGGCCUUAAACCUCGUCUCGGCAGCACGUGAUGCGGUGAUUCUAGUCCAUCUUUAUAAGCAAUGGAUCACGGCCAGUUUUGUGAUAAACUUGAAUUGAUCAACUUUACAUAAUUCAAAAGUGAAGUUCUAAUGUGAAACCAUCUGAGCUGAACAUGUCCGACUGACCUGAAUGAGCAUUGUAGUCUGGCUUCAGGUUGUGGUGGUAUUGUGCCAAAUGCCUGCUUGUACCCUGGAAAGAUUCUUUACAGCUGGGAUGAACAGAUUCACUACUUGCAUAUUCCUUUGUACAAGUGAAGCUACUGAAAACAUCUGAAAUAUAAGCUGUAAUCCAUAUAAAUUUGGGGUUGCAAGAUUUUUAAUGGUGCUACACAAUGGAAGCUUGGUUAGCUAGCAGUGGCACAAGGAAAACUUGUAAAUUUUUUUUGUAAUGUUGAUUUACAAUAAUUGUAUAUUUGACUUUGUGUUGAAUAUGACUUGAAUCCAAUUAAACUUUAAAAUAACCAA